UGGGGAAUCUUGCGCAAUGGGCGAAAGCCUGACGCAGCGACGCCGCGUGGGGGAUGACGGGUUUCGGCUUGUAAACCCCUGUUGCCCGGGACGAACUUCUCCUUUCGAGGAGAUUGACGGUACCGGGUGAGGAAGCACCGGCUAACUCUGUGCCAGCAGCCGCGGUAAUACAGAGGGUGCGAGCGUUGUCCGGAAUCACUGGGCGUAAAGGGCGCGUAGGUGGCGCGACAAGUCGGUGGUGAAAGUUCGACGCUCAACGUCGAAUCGGCCACCGAUACUGUCGGGCUCGAGCACUGUAGAGGCUAAUGGAAUUCCGGGUGUAGCGGUGGAAUGCGUAGAGAUCCGGAAGAACACCGGUGGCGAAGGCGGUUAGCUGGGCAGUUGCUGACACUGAGGCGCGACAGCGUGGGGGAGCAAACAGGAUUAGAUACCC
This 433-nucleotide ribosomal RNA is filed under the name uncultured bacterium. RNAcentral describes it as "bacterial SSU rRNA". It matches the Rfam family "Bacterial small subunit ribosomal RNA", at positions 355 to 787 of the family's 1533-position model. The record is from RNAcentral.